This 85-nucleotide transfer RNA is filed under the name Neobacillus ginsengisoli. RNAcentral describes it as "tRNA-Asn". It matches the Rfam family "tRNA". Rfam says of the family: Transfer RNA (tRNA) molecules are approximately 80 nucleotides in length. Their secondary structure includes four short double-helical elements and three loops (D, anti-codon, and T loops). The record is from RNAcentral. Lineage: Bacteria; Bacillati; Bacillota; Bacilli; Caryophanales; Bacillaceae.
GGACUUGUAGCUCAAUGGUAGAGCAACCUGCAGUUAUUGAUGUUAACUAUAGUGUAUCUUGCGGGUUCAAAUCCCGCCAAGUCCU